RNAcentral lists this ribosomal RNA (751 nucleotides) under uncultured bacterium. Its description in RNAcentral is "bacterial SSU rRNA". It matches the Rfam family "Bacterial small subunit ribosomal RNA", at positions 9 to 751 of the family's 1533-position model. The record is from RNAcentral.
GAGUUUGAUCCUGGCUCAGGAUGAACGCUAGCGGCAGGCUUAACACAUGCAAGUCGAACGGUAACAGAGAAGAGCUUGCUCUUUUGCUGACGAGUGGCGCACGGGUGCGUAACGCGUAUACAAUCUACCUUUUACAGGGGUAUAGCCUUUAGAAAUGAAGAUUAACACCCCAUAGUAUCUAAUUAUCUCAUGGUAUUUAGAUUAAAACUUCGGUGGUAAAAGAUGAGUAUGCGUUCUAUUAGCUAGAUGGUAAGGUAACGGCUUACCAUGGCGACGAUAGAUAGGGGCCCUGAGAGGGGGAUCCCCCACACUGGUACUGAGACACGGACCAGACUCCUACGGGAGGCAGCAGUGAGGAAUAUUGGACAAUGGGCGAGAGCCUGAUCCAGCCAUGCCGCGUGCAGGAUGACUGCCCUAUGGGUUGUAAACUGCUUUUAUAUAGGAAGAAACCUUUCCACGUGUGGAAAGCUGACGGUACUAUAAGAAUAAGGAUCGGCUAACUCCGUGCCAGCAGCCGCGGUAAUACGGAGGAUCCAAGCGUUAUCCGGAAUCAUUGGGUUUAAAGGGUCCGUAGGUGGAUAAUUAAGUCAGAGGUGAAAUCCUGCAGCUCAACUGUAGAAUUGCCUUUGAUACUGGUUAUCUUGAAUUAUUGUGAAGUGGUUAGAAUAUGUAGUGUAGCGGUGAAAUGCAUAGAUAUUACAUAGAAUACCAAUUGCGAAGGCAGAUCACUAACAAUAUAUUGACACUGAUG